CCUUCAUCCUGAUACUACAAUAUUAACAGUUUCCAUGCCAACACAUCAGCCUCCACUAACCAAUAACACAGUGUCAACAGUCUCCACGCUGAUACUUUUACCGUAUGCAUUUCCCAAAACCUGCGUUAUUCACUUUGACCUAUCUUAGUUGAGUACCAGCAAUUGAAAUGGUCGUGCCUGCAUUAUCCAUUUCAUAACUCCCAUGUGGCACAUGCAAGGUUAAGGGGCCGUAAAGGAAGCUUUG
This is a non-coding RNA of Pelobates cultripes (western spadefoot toad), 244 nucleotides long. The record is from the annotation of a GenBank genome assembly. NCBI's taxonomy places the organism in Eukaryota, Metazoa, Chordata, Amphibia, Anura, Pelobatidae.